This 83-nucleotide transfer RNA is filed under the name Candidatus Doudnaibacteriota bacterium. RNAcentral's name for it is "Candidatus Doudnabacteria bacterium tRNA-Leu". It matches the Rfam family "tRNA". From Rfam's summary of the family: Transfer RNA (tRNA) molecules are approximately 80 nucleotides in length. Lineage: Bacteria; Candidatus Doudnaibacteriota. The record is from RNAcentral. RNAcentral also lists the same sequence under 1 other name.
GCCGGUAUGGCGGAAUUGGUAGACGCACUCGACUCAAAAUCGAGCGGGAAACCAUGUCAGUUCGACUCUGACUACCGGCACCA